UACAGAGGUCGCAAGCGUUGUUCGGAAUCAUUGGGCGUAAAGGGCGCGUAGGCGGCGCGGUAAGUCGGGUGUGAAAUCCCGGGGCUUAACUCCGAAACUGCAUUCGAUACUGCCGUGCUUGAGGACUGGAGAGGAGACUGGAAUUUACGGUGUAGCGGUGAAAUGCGUAGAUAUCGUAAGGAAGACCAGUGGCGAAGGCGGGUCUCUGGACAGUUCCUGACGCUGAGGCGCGAAGGCCAGGGGAGCAAACGGG
Molecule: ribosomal RNA, 253 nt
Filed under: uncultured bacterium
Lineage: Bacteria
Description: partial 16S ribosomal RNA
Rfam family: Bacterial small subunit ribosomal RNA
Source: RNAcentral